This 262-nucleotide ribosomal RNA is filed under the name uncultured bacterium. RNAcentral describes it as "partial 16S ribosomal RNA". It matches the Rfam family "Bacterial small subunit ribosomal RNA", at positions 99 to 354 of the family's 1533-position model. The record is from RNAcentral.
CGCACGGGUGAGUAACACGUGAGUGACCUGCCUUUUAGACUGGAACAACUUACCGAAAGGUGAGCUAAUGCCGGAUGAGUUAUAUAAGUGCAUGUUUAUAUAGGAAAAGUUGGGGAGACCUGACGCUGAAAGAUGGACUCGCGUCCCAUUAGCUAGUUGGUAGGGUAAUGGCCUACCAAGGCGACGAUGGGUAGCCGGCCUGAGAGGGUGGACGGCCACAUUGGGACUGAGACACGGCCCAAACUCCUACGGGAGGCAGCAG